UACGUAGGUGGCAAGCGUUGUCCGGAUUUCUUGGGUUUAAAGGGUGCGUAGGCGGCUUUGUAAGUCAGUGGUGAAAUAUGGCAGCUUAACUGUCAGGGUGCCAUUGAUACUGCGGAGCUUGAGUACAGAUGAGGUAGGCGGAAUUGACGGUGUAGCGGUGAAAUGCUUAGAUAUCGUCAAGAACACCUAUAGCGAAGGCAGCUUACUAGGCUGUAACUGACGCUGAGGCACGAAAGUGUGGGGAUCAAACAGG
This 253-nucleotide ribosomal RNA is filed under the name uncultured bacterium. Its description in RNAcentral is "partial 16S ribosomal RNA". It matches the Rfam family "Bacterial small subunit ribosomal RNA", at positions 524 to 776 of the family's 1533-position model. The record is from RNAcentral.